AGAGGGUUGCCAUGGUGACACCAUCCCCCUCUUCCAUGCAAAGAAUACUGUGUGACAUCACUUUCUUUUGCGAUUCAUUCUCACAGCAGUGGGGCCAUCCUAUGUCCACUGAAUCUUGGCUUCAGCCUCCUCUUCUUAGCAGACAGAACUCAAGGAGGGCUGACUGUAUCGUGUUCAUGGAAAGUCCAGAAGGUACCAGCCACAUUCCCAGCAGUUUAUAAAGGAUAUCCACGAUCUCUAAUCACCUUUUCACAGGACUGUCACUGCCCUCUCACCAUCUAGAGAGGAUGAGCCAAGCACAGAUGUAACAAUGAAGACUGCGGUUACAGAGCACAGGCAAGG
This is a long non-coding RNA of Fukomys damarensis (Damara mole-rat), 342 nucleotides long. RefSeq lists it as uncharacterized. The transcript has 3 exons. Lineage: Eukaryota; Metazoa; Chordata; Mammalia; Rodentia; Bathyergidae. The record is from RefSeq and is a predicted model, not a curated record.